AGACGUCUACAUUAGACUACCCGGUAGUCCCNGCCGUAAACUAUGCGCGUUAGGUGUAUCGGUGACCACGAGUCACCGAGGUGCCGAAGGGAAACCGUGAAACGUGCCGCCUGGGAAGUACGGUCGCAAGGCUGAAACUUAAAGGAAUUGGCGGGGAGCACCACAACGGGUGGAGCCUGCGGUUUAAUUGGACUCAACGCCGGGAAGCUCACCGGAUAAGACAGCGGAAUGAUUGCCGGGCUGAAGACUCUGCAUGACUAGCUG
RNAcentral lists this ribosomal RNA (264 nucleotides) under uncultured archaeon. Its description in RNAcentral is "partial 16S ribosomal RNA". It matches the Rfam family "Archaeal small subunit ribosomal RNA", at positions 717 to 982 of the family's 1478-position model. The record is from RNAcentral.